GCUUGUAGGCGGUCUGUCGCGUCUGCUGUGAAAGACCGGGGCUUAACUCCGGUUCUGCAGUGGGUACGGGCAGACUAGAGUGUGGUAGGGGAGACUGGAAUUCCUGGUGUAGCGGUGAAAUGCGCAGAUAUCAGGAGGAACACCGAUGGCGAAGGCAGGUCUCUGGGCCAUUACUGACGCUGAGAAGCGAAAGCAUGGGGAGCGAACAGGAUUAGAUACCCUGGUAGUCCAUGCCGUAAACGUUGGGCGCUAGGUGUGGGACUCAUUCCACGAGUUCCGUGCCGCAGCUAACGCAUUAAGCGCCCCGCCUGGGGAGUACGGCCGCAAGGCUAAAACUCAAAGGAAUUGACGGGGGCCCGCACAAGCGGCGGAGCAUGCGGAUUAAUUCGAUGCAACGCGAAGAACCUUACCAAGGCUUGGCAUACACCGGAAUCAUGCAGAGAUGUGUGCGUCUUCGGACUGGUGUACAGGUGGUGCAUGGUUGUCGUCAGCUCGUGUCGUGAGAUGUCGGGUUAAGUCCCGCAACGAGCGCAACCCUCGUUCCAUGUUGCCAGCACGUCAAGGUGGGGACUCAUGGGAGACUGCCGGGGUCAACUCGGAGGAAGGUGGGGAUGACGUCAAAUCAUCAUGCCCCUUAUGUCUUGGGCUUCACGCAUGCUACAAUGGCCGGUACAGAGGGUUGCGAAACCGUGAGGUGGAGCUAAUCCCAAAAAACCGGUCUCAGUUCGGAUUGGGGUCUGCAACUCGACCCCAUGAAGUCGGAGUCGCUAGUAAUCGCA
This 779-nucleotide ribosomal RNA is filed under the name uncultured bacterium. RNAcentral's name for it is "bacterial SSU rRNA". It matches the Rfam family "Bacterial small subunit ribosomal RNA", at positions 567 to 1346 of the family's 1533-position model. The record is from RNAcentral.